CCCCUCCCCCUGGUGUGGUCCGGUGUGUGGUUACGGGAAUAGACGAGCGGAACUGCCGGAGCGCGUAGUGCCGAGCCCGGGACCGGUUUGAUGGUCGCUCAAGAUGCCGCUGCUGAGACUGGUAACCUGUUCGUGCGUCGAAGUCCCAGGCGACCAUAUGGCUGGCUUCUGCUCUUGAGCUCCCAACAAACAGCCAAAUAAAAGUGUGCCUAUAUCGAAAAGUCACUUGGAACGAUAGCAAGCAGAACUCAAGACUGAAACUACAGCAGUAUGAUAAAUAUAGUCAGUGGAUAGUUGCAAAAUACAAAUGCUUUCAGCAGUCAGAAGAGACGUGGUUGAUGCUGACUGACCAAUUAAACUACUGAAUGGUGGAAAAUUUAGACAUCAAUAAAGAGCGGUGAUAGUUUACUGAACAAGGAUGACUUCUGACUUGGAGGAGGAACUGUCGUUUGUGAUAAUCCCAUGCACCUACUGCCCUUGUCCUUGACUUUUGUGUAUAAGAUUAUGGGGAAGGGGCCAAGGAGUGGGGCAGAGGAGGGGAAAAGAAAGGAUCAGCCAUGAUUGAAUGGUGAAGCAGAUUCAUUGGGUCAAAUGGCCUAAUUCUGCUCCCAUGUCAAUGGUCUUAUGGUCUUCACACCCCCUUCAUGGAGGCAUUGCCCCAGGAUGCAUUUCUGGGGCUGCCCCAUUUAUGUUUCUGUAAAAUGAAGCCCCCCAUCCCAGAACACUGAUGGUUGAGGGGUUGACAGUGGUAAAGCCAAAUACAUGGGGGUGAUUCAUAUAGGGGAAGCUGACUAUAAUUAUAGAGUACACUUUCAAAGGAGAUAAAAAAAUAUUCUGAACAAAAGAUAUAACUAUUGAGUUCUGGAUAAAAUUUAAGUUUUCAAUUUGCAAACACUUUGACUUUAAUUCUCAUUGACACCAGGAACACCUGCUCAAUUAUUGGCUUCAUUCAAGAUCUCCUCUUGCCAGUGUGGAACCUAAAUUAGAAACAAGAGGAAGGAAUCCUUCUCUCAUAGUCACACUGAAUUAAAUUAAUUUAUAAUCUUCAGACAGUGUGAUCUAAUUUAGAACACCUGGAAAUUUGUAGUUCCAAAUCAUAAUUUACAACAUCACAGCAAAUAGAACCAUUUUGAAAUUUCUGCUAAACAUACCAAGGCAUUCUGUAUCUGACACGUCAGCUGACAGUUCAUUCUACUGGAUUCCAGGAGAGUUUGCUAUUUGCUGAACUGAGUUCCCUUUCUAACAAUUCCCUUCAACCAAUGUAACCUAGGCAAGGUCUACAAGAGCUGUCAUUAUUAUAGAUUUACCUACAGUAUGGUAUCCAUAUUCCAGAAAGGGUAUCAUACCAUUGUGUACAGUCCAGAAGAGAUUUGUGAGGUUAAUUCCUGGAAUGAGAGGGUUAUUCUGUCACCUAAGACUACAGAAGCUAGAAUUUAGAAAUUGGUCUGGUCUUAGAAAGUCAGAGUGUCGUACAGCACAGAAAUAGACCCUUCAUCUCAGCUGGUCCAUGCUAACCAAGGUGACCAUUUAAUCUAGUCCCAUAUCCCUCUAAAUCUGUCUUGGACUGUAUUUGCCUCAACUUGCUCUGUUGUUAUUAUGUCUAUGCUUGUUUAAUUUGUCAUGUAAGUUCUGUAUAAUUUAUGUUAAUUUGAGUGUAGGUAAUUUAUGAUUGUCAUGUUUGUAAUGAGCUAAGUUGUUGCUGCUCCUGUAAACCCAAAUGCUUAUGGCAUUUAUUACCUGGGUCUGUAUGCUAUGAGAUCAAACUUGACUUUGAUCUUGAAUUAUCCUUUUAGCUGUCAAAAUGUCUUUUAAAUGUUAUUGAACCUACCUCAACCACGUCCUAUCUCUGAUCCAGAAACUAUAAGAUCAUAAAGGAGAGAGAGGGCAUUGGUAUCAAAAUGCUUUACAAGUCCUGAAUGAAGGAACAUCAUUACGAGAAAAUGAAGUAGUGAUUUAAAACUGAGGUCAAGGUCAGAGAGUGAGAGAGUGAGACUUCCAAGUCCAUGGCAAAUAUUGGCCACUUAUUUUUAUAAAAAUUCUACCUGACCCCAUCUUAGUCUCUCCCACACACCCAUCAGCUCCUCCUGGAUUCUACCAAUCAUCAAUACACUAGUGCAAAAUUAUUAGUAGCCAAUUAGUCUAUCAACCUUAGGAUAUAUGAGGAGAAUGGAGUAUCAGGAGGAAACCCACAAGGUCACAGGGAAAGCAUGCAAGUUCUACGCAGAAAACAAUGAGAUCAGUAUUGACCCGGGCGUCUGGCACUGUACCACCCUAAAGAAUAGCCAGAGUAUGUAAUUUCUGUGCUUUUUAUAGAUCAAGGAUCAAAGUAAAUUUAUUAUCAAAGUAGGUAUAUGUUACCAUACACUACCUUGAGAUUCAUUUCCUUGAAGACAUUUACAGGAAAAAGGGAAUAUAACUGAAUUUUUAUGAAAAACUAGAUAAACUAAAGCUGACAGACAACCAAUGAUGCCAACUCAUUUACACUAUUCCCAAGUUCCCGUCAACUGCUCCAGUUUCUGCAACUCAUCCAUGUACUAGGGGGAAUUUACUGCAGCCAAUUCACCUAAUAACCUGUAUGUAUUUGGGAUGUGGCAGGAAACUGAAGCACCUGGGGGACAUUCAUGCAGUUGCAAGGUGACAAACCCACAUAUAGAGGCACAAAUUGCAGCCAGAUCUUGGGAGCUGCAAGGCAGCACCUCAACUAGCUGCACUACUGUACUCCUCAGAGGCAGGAGUGUAGGCAUCUUUUCUCAUGAAGUGCAACGUAUCUCUGGGUUGAUACAUAGGGAUCAUUUGAUGACUCAGGGCCUGUACUCACUGGAGCUUAGAACAAUGAGAGGGAAAUCUCAUUGAAACUGACUGAAUAUUGAACUGCCUAGAUUUAUAUUGUGUUCAGUGAUUGCCCAACUGCAGAGGGAGAGAUACACUGGCAGAAUGAGUAGUUCACAAAGGUUUAAUAAGAAUGGUAAAGAGCCAAUAGAAAAAUAAUAAAUGCUAGGCCAAUGGGGCUACUGGAUGAAACGUUUAAACUAAAAUCUAAUGCCGUCACCUCAGCUUGGUAGUAGUAACUUAAUACUAACCUAAUACUGCUCUUUUGCAACAUCAAUCUAAAUGGUAAUCUUCUUUCCUGGAACAUGGAGAAGCAGGGAGUAUUGCUGUAGUGUGUUCAAUAUUUGAGUAAUUUUGUAAGUAUAUUGUUUGAUUAAGCAUCGUUGUUUGUUUACAUAAUUUAUUAUGGGUUAUAUGUAAGAAAUACAUGAAUGGCAUACGUUAUUACACCACCGCAUUAUAUGUGAGAGUCUCACUGAAAAGAAGAGACAGAGUAGACAAUUAUCCCAGCUCUUGUAUUUUUCUUUUGAGUACUUUCUGGAGUUACAAAACAUUACAGUGGCGACAAGGAAGUUCUAAAAUGAACCCAAGACGACUACCUACUUGUUAAAAUGCAGCAUAUUUUCUUCAGAAGGACCCAGAGAGAGAUAUUUAAGUUUAAAAAAAAAGCACAGCACAUUUUUCUUCAGAAGUGGAGAGAGACAUUUGAGUUAAAAAAAAACACUGCACUGUUUUCUUCUGAAUGGAGGUGUUACGAACCCCGUAACUGGGUGACUUACCAGCAAAGAUAGAGACGUCCGUUGAAGUCUGAUGAUACUAUUUUUAACAGUAUUUAUUAGUAAAAAUACAUAAAAAUAAUAUCUAUGCAAAUAUACAGAUAAUAUACGUCGUCAAUACUAAACUUAUAAGUGCGGGUAUAAUAAUAAUAAGAAAUAAGCUCUAUCGUUGUCUAGGGGAUAAUGUACUGUCCAAUGGAAAUAUAAAGU
Hypanus sabinus (Atlantic stingray) is the source of this 3815-nucleotide long non-coding RNA. RefSeq lists it as uncharacterized. The record is from RefSeq and is a predicted model, not a curated record. Lineage: Eukaryota; Metazoa; Chordata; Chondrichthyes; Myliobatiformes; Dasyatidae. The transcript has 3 exons.